AUACGGAGGGUGCAAGCGUUAUCCGGAUUCACUGGGUUUAAAGGGUGCGUAGGCGGGCAGAACAGUCAGUGGUGAAAUCUCCGAGCUUAACUCGGAGACUGCCGUUGAUACUAUUUGUCUUGAAUAUUGUGGAGGUAAGCGGAAUAUGUCAUGUAGCGGUGAAAUGCAUAGAUAUGACAUGGAACACCAAUUGCGAAGGCAGCUUACUACACAACGAUUGACGCUGAGGCACGAAAGCGUGGGUAGCGAACAGGAUUAGAUACCCUGGUAGUCCACGCCCUAAACGAUGAUUACUCGACAUACGCGAUACACAGUGUGUGUCCAAGCGAAAGCAUUAAGUAAUCCACCUGGGAAGUACGACCGCAAGGUUGAA
Molecule: ribosomal RNA, 373 nt
Filed under: uncultured bacterium
Lineage: Bacteria
Description: bacterial SSU rRNA
Rfam family: Bacterial small subunit ribosomal RNA
Source: RNAcentral